Long non-coding RNA from Panicum virgatum (switchgrass), 513 nucleotides. RefSeq lists it as uncharacterized. Lineage: Eukaryota; Viridiplantae; Streptophyta; Magnoliopsida; Poales; Poaceae. The record is from RefSeq and is a predicted model, not a curated record. The transcript has 2 exons.
CCGACCUGGAUCCACUUGCUCGAUCUGUGCCAGGAGGCUCGUCGCCGGGCGCCGGUGCUCGUCGGCGCCUCCGUGGGACGGGGAGCGCUGGCUCCUCCGUGCGGUCGGCCUCCUCGUCGAUCUCGCGCCGCACCACCGCCGGGUAAUCUGAUAUCUCUGACAGGGAAAGUUCAAUUCUGUCAAAGGAUUCAACUCUGUGGUUCUUUUUUUUUCCUCUCGAACACGCAGGAGAGCUGCGUAUCAUCGUAUUAAUAGAAGAAGAGAGUCAUACACAGACCCGAAUACACACCCACACUCUAUCCCUGCAAGAACUUAAUCACCUGUGCUUUUCAAGGAAGACCUGACCACACCAUCCACUAAGGCACAACAACACUAGCUGUGUGUAAGGGCAGCCCCUUAGCACCAGCUAAACUCCACAAAUGGGCUUCCUCCCUAGCACGGGCAAGAGCCACAGGAAUGCUAGGGGCAGCACCGUUGAACACACAAUCAUUUCUAAGUUUCUAGAUGGUCCAA